Molecule: ribosomal RNA, 483 nt
Filed under: uncultured bacterium
Lineage: Bacteria
Description: partial 16S ribosomal RNA
Rfam family: Bacterial small subunit ribosomal RNA
Source: RNAcentral
GACGAACGCUGGCGGCGUGCUUAACACAUGCAAGUCGAACGAUGAAGCUGGAGCUUGCUCCGGUGGAUUAGUGGCGAACGGGUGAGUAACACGUGAGCAAUCUGCCCUUGACUCUGGGAUAACUGCGGGAAACUGUAGCUAAUACCGGAUACGAGACCUGAAGGCAUCUUCGGGUCUGGAAAGAAUUUCGGUCAAGGAUGAGCUCGCGGCCUAUCAGCUUGUUGGUGAGGUAAUGGCUCACCAAGGCGACGACGGGUAGCCGGCCUGAGAGGGUGACCGGCCACACUGGGACUGAGACACGGCCCAGACUCCUACGGGAGGCAGCAGUGGGGAAUAUUGCACAAUGGGCGAAAGCCUGAUGCAGCAACGCCGCGUGAGGGAUGAAGGCCUUCGGGUUGUAAACCUCUUUUAGCAGGGAAGAAGAGAAAGUGACGGUACCUGCAGAAAAAGCACCGGCUAACUACGUGCCAGCAGCCGCGGUAA